GACAGAGGGUGCAAACGUUGUUCGGAAUUACUGGGCGUAAAGCGCGUGUAGGUGGCAAGGCAAGUCGGGUGUGAAAGCCCUGGGCUCAGCCCAGGAAGUGCACUCGAUACUGCCUCGCUAGAGUCCCGGAGAGGUUGGUGGAACUCUCGGUGUAGAGGUGAAAUUCGUAGAUAUCGAGAAGAACACCGGUGGCGAAGGCGGCCAACUGGACGGUGACUGACACUGAGACGCGAAAGCGUGGGGAGCAACAGGG
RNAcentral lists this ribosomal RNA (253 nucleotides) under uncultured bacterium. Its description in RNAcentral is "partial 16S ribosomal RNA". It matches the Rfam family "Bacterial small subunit ribosomal RNA", at positions 524 to 776 of the family's 1533-position model. The record is from RNAcentral.